Molecule: ribosomal RNA, 107 nt
Filed under: Weissella thailandensis
Lineage: Bacteria; Bacillati; Bacillota; Bacilli; Lactobacillales; Lactobacillaceae
Description: partial 23S ribosomal RNA
Rfam family: Bacterial large subunit ribosomal RNA
Source: RNAcentral
AGAAAUGAAGUAAGACCCCUCAGAGAUGAUGAGGUAGAUAGGCUAGAAGUGGACGUGUGGUGACACAUGGAGCGGACUAGUACUAAUGGUUCGAGGACUUAACCAAG